RNAcentral lists this non-coding RNA (21 nucleotides) under Arabidopsis thaliana (thale cress). The record is from RNAcentral. Lineage: Eukaryota; Viridiplantae; Streptophyta; Magnoliopsida; Brassicales; Brassicaceae.
CUUUAGACCAUCCACAUUGCA